GGACGAUUCCAAGGAUCACUGUUGUUGCUAAUUUUUUUUCUUUUAAAAAAUACAGAUAUUUUUAAUAAAAGUAUGUUAAUUAUGUUAACCUGUAAUGGGCUUAUUAUUUCAAAAUCAAUUAACAAUGUAAAUAUUUAAAACUUCUGUGUUAAAAUUUCUAAUAGUAUAAAUAGCAGUAGAUUUAGCCCACUCUAAGGGAGAUGGUUGUGCUUUAGUCAGGAGUAGGCCGAGGCAGCCUUCUGGUGCAGCAUGACUCAGUGGGUUUGGAGGCAGGCACACAACUCCACACAUUAUGUAACCAUGCCAUGUGAGGUGCAUUAGGUGACCACUCAUAUGAGCACGUGCUUGGCUCAAAGCCACUAUUGUCUGUAAAAGGUAAAAUUACCCUGCUGACACUACAUAUGGCUUGCACCCAGAGAGAGAAUAAAGCCAUGUCGAAACCGCCUACUCGAGUGUUUUUCCAGUUACCUGCCACCCACCCACCAACUCCCCUUGGACUUUAGUUUGGGCUAGAACCUGACAAUUGGCAUCACGAACAGGAUCCUAAGGUAAGUGAGCCUUCGGUCCCUGCUGAUUCCAGGUUGGCCAUGUGACCACAACAUGGGUUGUGGUACCCGGUGGUAGCCGUGCUGUGAGGGUGGGCCUGAGUGGAAACCUGGGUGGCAGUAGAUGGGUCCCCCAUGAGCAUGGAGAAGGCGCUGAAGCAGCUGGAAGUGCAGAGCACCAAGAAGGAGAGAGCCUUUGCUGGCAGAGUUGGAUGGGCAUUUUUAACUGUGCUAAGAAAAGUACACACCCAGUCCCUGAGGGAUGCAGACUGGAGGUCUGGCUACACCGAUCUGGAAAAUAAUUAGAGGCUGCCAUGAAUGGGGACCUCCAGGUGCAGGCAGGAUGCCUGGAGGUGUGGCUUCAGAGCUUGGAAAAGGAAUUAGAGGCUACCAUGAAUGCAGGCCUGGGUCCAUCAUCUUGUCUGGAGAUCCCCACUCAGUUUCAUACCAAGGAGGAAGAACCCCUGUUGCGGGCUCACCCGGUGGUCUGACAGAAGGUAGAUCAUGAACAGCCACUGGGGCUCCAAGGGUGGACUCAGGGACUCCCCACCAUAAUGCAACACAUUUCGUAUAUUGCCUGUACCCCAACUGAGUUGCAGGAAUUAGGCAAGCAGUGUUGCCAGUGUCCAGGGGAACCCCUGCCUGCCUGGAUGCUUCGUCUGUGGAACAAGGGAGCAGAUGGUAUCUCCCAUUCCACCUCUGAGAUGGACAAGCUGGCCUCCACCAUGACUCACCCCUCUCUCUGUCAGCGGCUGCAAGUGAGCAGGUGGUUAGUGGCAGCGCAAGGAGACCACACCCUGACUGAGUGGCUACAGGCAGCCAUAUGAACUGUGUGGAAUAAUGCUGGUGAAAUGCCCAAAACUGUGAGUAAAUGGCAGUCAUAUGCCAAUUUGGUGUAAGUCAUUCGGGAGAUGGGUAUGCGGCAGGCUAUGUUUGUCCUGAAUACCUGAGGGCCAGAUGAUAAAUGUUUCACCUCCCACAUGAGGGAUCUCAUGUUGGGUUUGAUGCUCCUGAGCCCCUUUGGCUCCCUAGCUGCUGUCCUCACCCCAUACGUAGGGCACCGCAUACAUGAAGUAACCACUGCCAUGGCGGCUCUCAGGGAAGCAGAAGGCCUUCAGGGGGAUUGGAGGGUCCACACCAUAAAGAAGGGGAAGUUACCCCACCCACAGGGGGCUCCCCCAUAAAAAAAGGGGGCCCCAACGAGUGACACGCUCACAGAUGUGGAUAGAUUUGAUUUUGGCUGGGGUUGACUGAGAGAAAAUUGAUAAGCAGCCCAAUGAAAUACUCCUAACUUUGCGGAGACAGUUGUAUGCAGGGCAGCAAUUCCGGAAAAUGCCCAAAGGGGAGAAAGGCAUUGCUGUGUGACCUGGUCCUACCCAGCUCAGAGACUACUUGCUGCAGCCAGGUGGAAAUGUAGAGCCUUUUCUGUUCAACUAGGGAACUGGCCAAAGGUGUCUGGCUUGGGGGGACACCAGAUGACCAGAGGCCACAUGUGGAAUUGGCAAUCCACUGGUCCCCCACCAAUGUACAGUGGGUGCUGGUGCUGGUAGAUACUGGCAUAGAUUGUAGCCUUGUUUAUGGGAACCCAGUUAAGUUUUUGGGCAAAUCUGCAUAUAUUAAAGGUUACGGAGGCCAGUCAGUGAAAGUGAAACCUGUAUCUCUGUACCUUGGCAUUGGCCACUUGGCUCCUUGCUUAUACACUGUGUAUGUCUCUCCCAUACCUGAAUACAUUCUGGAGGUGGAUAUUUUACAUGGCUUGGAAGCUGUGCCAUCUAUCAUGGAUUUGAUGAACCACUCGACAAUGGAAUUAGGACAGUACCACUAUGUGGUGGACUUGGCCAAUGCAUUCUUCUCAGUUGACCUUGCUCUAGAGAGCCAGGAACAGUUUGCCUUGAUGACAAUGGACUUUCACAGUGUUGCUGCAGGGCUAUGUGCAUAGCUCCACCAUAUGUCAUGGUCUUGUUGCCAUGGAUUUAACAGCCUGAAAAUGUCCAAAGGGAGUCCACUUGUUCCAUUACGUUGAUGAUAUUAUGUUAACCUCUGAUUCUCUUGCAGAUUUAGAAGCAGUGGCACCCCUCUUGUGGCAACAUUUGGCAGCAUGCAGUUGGGCCAUCAACAAAUCCAAGGGCUGAAGUUCCAGGCUGGACCUGAUGCUCCAAACCUUGAAUGAAUGGCCAUGGAAAAGCAGCCCAGCCCAGGUGGAGGCUUUGUUACAUGGGCCACCACCCCUAUUCAGUUGCAGAUACACACCAAGGGUAACCGCCUCUGACCAGGUUAACAUGCUCCAACUGCAUUGUGGACUGGGCCCACACCUACACUGAAGUGACCAAUGUUUCCAACUGUUGGAUCUGCACCGCCCUUCUAGCAGCUGCAGAUGGCUUGCCUUAGCACAUACAUUCAGCAUCUGCAGAGAACCAGACAUGGCUGGAGACUUGGGGUCCCAUGGCUGAUGCCUGGAACGCAACGUGGCAAGUUUUGGACAAAGGAUGCCACAAGACCCACAGCACAGCCAUUCCCUGGCUGGCCCAUAGCAUUUAUGAUGGGUGGGGCUGGCUAGUGAGGUAACGUGCAGUACCCCUGGCCCAGGCACUGUGGUGCAUAUAGCAACACUGGGGUAAUAGCACUGUGGGAUGGGUACCCGUCACAGUGUGUGUAAGCAUAAUACAUGUCACCACACCAAAGGUAUGGUGGAAGACGCGGCCCCACCAAGGGGCCUCGAUGGACUGUGUGCCCCCUGGGAGUUUAUGGGUCUGUGGGGACACAGGGUGGCCUUACCUAUAAGCAAACUGGACUGGACAUUAUACCUGAGGGUGGCCUCAUGUACCUGCCACUGUUCUCACAUUGCCCAGAUGCCUGCAUAACUGGGAGGUGCUACACUCUCGGUUUUUGCAAGUGUAAUGAGCACCCUGGUGGUUUUACCCCUUGACAGGCACUAGCCCUGGAGUGUGUGUCACAACUGUAGAAGCCAAGUUACUGCUCUUGCAGAGCAUGCUGCUCAGGCUCUGAAUUACACCUGAGUGGCCCUCUUCCCAUUAAUGGAUGAGGUUGAUCAGAUCAGAAAGGUGGUGUUGCGAAACCGAAUGGUCUUAGACAUAGUAACUGCUGCCUAAGGAGGCACCUGUGCCCUUUUAGGAACACAAUGUUGUACCUUUAUCCCUGACAAUUGGCAGAACAUAACAGCAGCCCUGCAAGGGGUCUCACAGGAGAUUAAGGUAGUCAAGAGCCUUACUGAUGACCCCCUGCAGAGAUGGUAGACAUCCCUGGGCUCUGGCCUACGCUGGGCCCUGAUAGUCAUAAGUAGCAUAGCUGGAAUCCUAGUCGUGAGCUGUUGCUCUCCGUAUUGUUGCUGUGGAUUAUGGAUUCAGGGCUCCACCCUACGGGCACAUGUCCCUACCUGGAGGAUGCCCCUGGCCUAGGGGUGGAGUGUAAGGAAGAUGGCUGCGCUUUAGUCAGGAGCAGGCUGAGGCCACUUUUUGGUGCACCAUGACUCAGUGGGUUUGGAGCGUAGGCACACGACUCCGCACAUUAUGAACCAUGCCACUUGAGGUGCAUUAGGUGACCACUCACGUGAGCUCGUGAUUGCUUCAGAGCCUCUAUUGUCUGUAAAAGGUAUAAUUACCCUGCUGACACUGGACAUAUGGCUCGUGCCCAGAGAGAGGAUAAGGCCAUGUUCAAACUGCCUAUGAUUCCUCGGGUGUUUUUUCAGCUACCCCUCACCCACCCACCAACUCCCUUCGGACUUCAGUUUGGGCUAGAACCUUACACCCACAUAAACUAAAGCUGUAUGGGGUCCUCAGUUUUCAAGCACAUAAAAGUAUUCUGUAUCCAAAAAGUUUGUGAACCACUGCCCUAGAGAAACUUUCCAUGGCGUGCAAGAUGUAUGUAAGAAUGCCCAGUAGAGACAUAAUAAGAAACCAGAAAAAGUGGAAAUCUCAAUGCCUGUCAUCAAGAGAGAUAAAUGCAGCGUGGUCUAUUUCUGUUCUCCUCACAUUGCCCAGAUGCCUGCUUAACUGGGAGGCGUUAUGUUCUCAGUUUUUGCAAGUGUCAUAAAGGAGUGAAUGGAGCAUUACCUGUCAUUAUAGACACUGCAAAAUGAGCUAGUAGCAGGAUUUUUACCACAGGUACCCAUAAGCAACAUGUGGCAUGGUUCACCAUGGUUUUACAUUGUUGUGUAAAUAACUUAAAAUUAUGUGAAUAAUGUAAAAGCAUGGUGAACAAUGCCAUGUUUUGCUUAUGGGUACCUGCGGUAAAAAGCAAAAAUCAUGACCCUGAAGGGGUGAGCAGGCCUACAGGUGCUGGGCAGGCACUGUCUUGCAAAGAGCACAAAAUGUGCAGGUCCCUCUGGGAGUGUUAUAGUGGGUAGCUAGUCAGAAAGAGCAGGGCAGGAGAGGGCUCCCCAUACCCCACACACCAGGAGUGUCAGGUGACCAUCAGGUGAUGGUCUGGCGGUUGUUGACUGUCUUUCUAAAGUAAUAAUUGGUCACACCCGGCAACAGGGAAAAGCCGGCUCCUAAUAGAUAGAAAACACUCGAAACUGGUGAGCAGUAGUUUCCCUAUAAGAUCUCAGGAGUUGAGCCAGUGGGCUCAGGCAGGCACAUGGGACAGCCCACCCCAAGGGAAGAACCAGGGGAGAAAUAACGCAAGACCCCGAAAGCAUGCUGACGUAUAAAACCCCAAGUCAAAAGGUCAAACCACGCACUUGCUUUUUAAGUCGUCCACUUGGCCCUCUUCCAAGUGUACUUUCCUUCCUUUUGUUCCUAUUCUAAAGCUUUUAAAUAAACUUUUACUCCUGUGCUAAAA
Molecule: long non-coding RNA, 5345 nt
Filed under: Homo sapiens (human)
Lineage: Eukaryota; Metazoa; Chordata; Mammalia; Primates; Hominidae
Description: HSALNT0311648
Source: RNAcentral